GAUGAAGAACGUAGCGAAAUGCGAUACGUAAUGCGAAUUGCAGAAUUCAGUGAAUCAUCGAGUCUUUGAACGCACAUUGCGCCCCCUGGUAUUCCGGGGGGCAUGCCUGUCCGAGCGUCAUUUCUGCCCUCCAGCCCGGCUGGGUGUUGGGCGCUGUCCCCCCGGGGACACGCCCCAAAGGCAGUGGCGGCGCCGCGUCGGGUCCUCGAGCGUAUGGGGCUUUGUCACCCGCUCGGGACGGACUCGUCGGCGCUGGUCUUCCUCCAGGCGACCCUUCGGGGCUCGUCUUCCUUCGGUUGACCUCGGAUCAGGUAGGGUUACCCGCUGAACUUAAGCAUAUCAAUAAGCGGAGGA
Molecule: unclassified non-coding RNA, 354 nt
Filed under: soil metagenome
Description: partial contains 5.8S ribosomal RNA, internal transcribed spacer 2, and large subunit ribosomal RNA
Rfam family: 5.8S ribosomal RNA (bases 1-120)
Source: RNAcentral